UGACAAACGGCCAGGGAAUAAUGUUUAACUCUUUUGUUUUAUUCUGUUUGUGCCUUUGUCGUCUGGUUGAUGUGACCGAUGCGGUGAGGAGAAUAUCAGUGAUGGGGGGAGAUUCUGUCACGCCUACACAAUGAUGUUUCUGAAGCACAGAAAUAUUUGUUGAUACAGUGGAUGUUUGGAAGCACAAGAAUAGCUGAAAUGAACAGACUUACACAAACCAUCUCAAUCUAUGAUAGUGCCGAUGGAAGAUUCAGAGACAGACUCAAACUGGAUCAGAUUGGAUCUCUGACCAUCACAAACGCCAGAACCACAGACUCUGGACUUUAUCAACUCAUAAUUGUCGGCGAUGAAACCAUAUACAUGAGUUUUAAUCUUACAAUCUAUGAGACUCCACGAAGUUCUACAUCAUCAGAAAGUUCAUCAAGCUCCAAUCCUGUGACAUCCAGCUCUGUGGUGAACAAAUCAACUGUCAAUCAAACCGAGAAUAACAACUCUACUGGACCCCAUCAGCCGAGUUCAGACAAGAUCCACUGUUGUAGUUUCACUGAAGCUGCGAUCCGAUUGGUUCUCUCUGCUUUGGUGGGCGUGGCGACAGUUGCUGUGCUGGUUUAUGACAUCAGAUCAACAAGAAGUGAACUGAUCAGGACAGAAGAGACGAAACAUUACCAUCAGACUCAUGUUAAAUCAGACCAGCAGAAUGAAUUGGGCAGAAGGGAGAGUUCCGUAUAUGUCCACAUGUAAAGCAAAGCAUCCACCGAGGCAUAUCACAGAAUCAGUUGCUGUACAUUUUUGGGGAUUUUUUUUUUUUUUAAAUAAAUAUUGGGUUUUACAUUAGCGUGCAGCUUGUUUUAGUUUUAUCUGUUCUAGUGUAUGUUUAUAAUGUCAUAAAAUGCUACACAGUUCAAAUAGCAGUUGUGUACAUUUGCAGGUAAGUUUGUGAGUCAUUGUGAAUCCUGCUGUGGUCUCGGUUGUUUACAUCUUUACAGAAGAUGUAAUAUAUAAGUCUAUGAGCUGCUGAGGCAGGCGCAUGUGGUCCUCCUCCCCUCCCCUCUGAACCUCUUGAGCAAUUUCGAAAGUGAAAGCAAAGAGCGAGUGCAUGCUCAAAAGCGAUUACAAAAGUCUGAAAUGCACCCCCAUCCCCGUUUUACUUGAUUUCAGCAUUUUCUGUGUCAUGCUGUAAAUGAUUGCGGUCUGCGGGAGCGCGCACAGCAUGUUAAAGCUGUACCGCCCCAGUUUCUACACAUCUGCGGCUGCUUUAUCGGGAUCAAAUGGUCAUAACCUGUAAAUUAACAUUGCCUUAUAUCCGUGCUAAUAGCAAAGAACAUUUUCUGGUAACGGAAUAAUCAAAAUUGUGGCCAAAGAUGUGUUUGAGUUUAUAUCAUAAUCUGGCAUGAGAUUUAAAUGAUUAUAUGCAAUAACAAAUGCCUAUUUUACUCUGCAUUUAAGAGUACUUCUAAAUAUGUACGAAAUUAUGUCCAUAUAUCCA
This 1486-nucleotide long non-coding RNA is filed under the name Carassius auratus (goldfish). Its description in RNAcentral is "lncRNA (ENSCARG00000051044.1)". The record is from RNAcentral. Lineage: Eukaryota; Metazoa; Chordata; Actinopteri; Cypriniformes; Cyprinidae.